Fukomys damarensis (Damara mole-rat) is the source of this 63-nucleotide small nucleolar RNA. The record is from Ensembl. NCBI's taxonomy places the organism in Eukaryota, Metazoa, Chordata, Mammalia, Rodentia, Bathyergidae.
AGCCUGUGAUGGUGUAAGAGUAGUGGGCAGAAGGGAUUUCUGAAAAAUUUUUAUUCUGAGGCU